Molecule: transfer RNA, 72 nt
Filed under: Camelus bactrianus (Bactrian camel)
Lineage: Eukaryota; Metazoa; Chordata; Mammalia; Artiodactyla; Camelidae
Also listed under: 2 other names
Rfam family: tRNA
About the family: Transfer RNA (tRNA) molecules are approximately 80 nucleotides in length. Their secondary structure includes four short double-helical elements and three loops (D, anti-codon, and T loops).
Source: Rfam by way of RNAcentral
GUAAGUAUAGCUCAGUGGCAGAGCGCAUGCUUAGCGUGCACGAGGUCUUGGGUUCAAUCCCCAGUACCUCCA